GUCUAUUUGAAGGUAUUAAUAGUCUGGCCUGCUCACUGACAUUAUAUAAUGUUAAAGAGCCGCGGUAUCCUGACCGUGCAAAGGUAGCAUAAUCAUUAGUUCUUUAAUUGAGAACUGGUAUGAAUGGUCGGACAAGAGAAACCCUGUCUCUGCUGUUAUAGUAGAAUUUAACUUUUAAGUGAAAAGGCUUAAAUUUUUCAAGGGGACGAUAAGACCCUAUAAAGCUUUAUAUAUUAAUUAGAAUUAAUUAAAUUGAAUAAAUAAAAAUUUAGUCUUAAAAGUAUAUUUAGUUGGGGCGACGAAAGUAUAAUUAAUAAUAACUGCUUAAACUUAAUACAAUAAUAAAUGAUUUUUUUUUUAAUUGAUCCUUUUUAAAGAUUAAAGACCAAGUUACUUUAGGGAUAACAGCGUAAUUUCUUUUGAGAGUCCCUAUCGAAGAAGAAGUUUGCGACCUCGAUGUUGAAUUAAAAUAUCUUUAUAGUGCAGCAGCUAUAAAAAGAAGGUCUGUUCGACCUUUAAUUUUUUACAUGAUUUGAGUUCAGACCGGCGAGAG
This 553-nucleotide ribosomal RNA is filed under the name Geryon longipes. RNAcentral's name for it is "partial 16S ribosomal RNA". It matches the Rfam family "Archaeal large subunit ribosomal RNA", at positions 1923 to 2694 of the family's 2987-position model. The record is from RNAcentral. Lineage: Eukaryota; Metazoa; Arthropoda; Malacostraca; Decapoda; Geryonidae.